UCUAGAGCUAACUACUAUAAACAUUUCAGGGCAUUUCCUUCUAAUGUUUUUUUUUUUUUCCUAUCCUUUCAUGUGACAUUUGCAAUUUUGUUUCUGGCUUUUUCACUUCAUAUAAUAAAAUAGCAAUUCCCCAACAUUUUCCUGAACAUUACUGGAUAUAACAAUUUCCUUAGCCAUUCCCUUAUGAAUGGAUGCUUGGUUAUGUCCAGCUGUAUUUAAUAUUGUGAAUAAUGCAGUAACAUGGUGCUUUGAUAUUGCUCUUUAAUGUCUGUGUUCCAUUUGUCCAAUAAGGCUCAGAUCUUUGAAGAAUCUGUCUUUUCUUCCCUUUCCAUCCACCUACAUCUUUCCAGGGUGGUGCUCAGUCCAGAGUAGACUCAUUUAAGUCCUUAUUAUGGCCCUAUUCUGAGCACUUGAUACAUAGCAAAGCAUUUAAUCCUCACAACUUCCCUGUGAGGUAGGUAAUAUUAUUACCAUCCCUUUUGUCCAAGGUCAUUGGCUAGUAAUGAUGCAGAGGCAGAAUUUGAAUCCAGGUAGCCUGGAUCCAGAGUCUGAAUGCUGAACCAUCAGUCAUCUUGCUUUCCUGUCAUGCUAGUGGUGGAGGGAAUUAAAAAUGAGACAGCCAGCCAUCCCAGCUCUGUGGGUGGAUUGGUCUCAUGUUCAAAAUCUGUCACCUAAGCUUCAUCCUUCAUUUGAAAAUGGAUAAGGGAAGUGAUAUGGUUUGGCUGUGUCCCCACCCAAUUCUCAUCUUGAAUUCCCACAUGUUGUGAGAGGGACCCAGUGGGAGGUAACUGAAUCCUGGGGGCAGGUCUCUCCUGUGCUGUUCUCAUGAUAGUGAAUAAGUCUUACAAGAUCUGAUGGUUUUAUAAGGGGGAAUCUCCCCGCACAAGCUCUCUUUUUGCCUGAUGCCAUCCAUGUAAGAUGUGACUUGCUCCUCCUUGCCUUCUGCCAUGAUUGUGAGGCAUCCCCAGCCAUGUGGAACUGUAAGUCCAUUAAAUGUCUUUCUUUUGUAAAGUACCCAGUCUCCAUAUGUCUUUAUCAGCAGUGCCAAAAGAAACUAAUACAGGAAGUGAUAAAGUCAGAAAAGCUGGGGAGUACAGGGAAAGUGAUUCAGCUUCAACCCACAAGAUUGGAGCUUCCAACUGUCCCCAGCCUUGCACAGUCCUCUUUCCCCGCACAGCACCAGAGAGUUCUUUCUCAAAUGCAAAUCUGAUCCUGUCACUUUCCUGCAAGGCUCUCUGUCGCACUCAGGAUAAAAUCCCCAAACCCAUAACUGGCAUGCAAGGUCAUCUCUUGCCCCGUGUCUCUACUCCUGGCCUGACUUCUCUCUGCCUCAGUUCUUUCAGGUCCUGCAAACCCCACCGCUCUGUUUCAUCCCUGUACCUGUUGUAUCUUGGCCUGGAGAGCUUUUCCCUACCUCGCCCCUGCUCAUUGUCCUUUGGCCCUGCUCACUCUAAGUCUCUGUUUAAACACUCCUGUCUUCCGCCGGGCGCGGUGGCUCACGCUUGUAAUCCCAGCACUUUGGGAGGCCAAGGCGGGCAGAUCACGAUGUCAGGAGAUUGAGACCACGGUGAAACCCCGUCUCUACUAAAAAUACAAAAAAUUAGCCGGGCAUGGUGGCAGGCGCCUGCAGUCCCAACUACUCGGAGAGUCUGAGGCAGGAGAAUGGCGUGAACCCGGGAGGCGGAGCUUGCAGUAAGCCGAGAUCGUGCCACUGCACUCCAGCCUGGGUGACAAAGCGAGACUCUGUCUCAAAAAAACAAAAACAAAAACGAACAAACAAACAAAAAAAAAACAAAAAGUACACUCCUGUCUUCUAUCUAGAAAGUCUUCUUCAAAGCCCUUAAUUGGAUCGUGUUCCCUGGUUAAACACAUACCUUUCUCUUGACAUGAAUUACAUUUUGUAAUUGCUUUUCUUAAAAAAAAAAAUUUUUUUUUUAUUAUGGAAAAAUUCAAACAUAAGAAAAAAAAGAAGAGUAUUCUAAUCACCCAACUUCAACAAUUAUCAACCCACAGCCAAUCUGGUUUCACCUAACCCCCCAUCUACUUCCCUCCUCCUGUCUUAUUUUUAAACAAUAAAACAGAUCGUUUUAUUUAAUCUGUAAAUGUUUUAUUUAGCAAGUUUCUCUAAAAGAUAAGCACUUUUAAAAUCAUAGUUACAAUAUCAUUAUCAUGCUUUUAAAAGGCCAAUUAUGCUUGUUUUUUUCUUUUUCAACUUUUUAUUUUGAAAAAUUUAAAACUUACAGAAAAGUUGCAAACUAUCUGAGACUAAGUCGCAUAUGUUAUGAUCUUUUAUCCUUAAACAUUUCCACAUAUAUUUCCCCAAAACAAGGAAAUUCUUUGAUAUAACCAAAAUAUAGUGAGCACAUUCAGGAAAUUUAAGGUUGAUACAAUAAAAGAUCUACAAUAAAAUCCAUAUUCAAACUUUGCCAUAUGUCCCAAUGAUGUCCUUUACAACAGGGGUCCCCAACACCUGGGCCACGGACUGUAUAGGUUAGUGACCUUUUAGGAACCAAGCUGCACAGCAUCUCCACCUCCUGUUGGAUCAGCAGCAGCAUUAGAUUCUCAUAGAGGUGCAAAUUCUAUUGUGAGCUGCGCGUGUGAGGGAUCUAGGUUGUGUGCUCCUUAUGAGAAAGUAAUGCCUGAUCUUGAGGUAGAACAGUUCCUUCCAAAACCAAAAAUUCCUCCCCCAGUCCGUUGAAAAACUGUCUUCUACAAAUACAGUCCCUGAUGCCAAAAAGGUUGGGAACCACAGUUUUCGCAGAAAUUUUUUCUUUUUUUGAGACAGGGUCUCACUCUGUCAUCCAGGCUGGAGUGCAGUGGUGUGAUCAUAGCUCACUGUAGCCUCGACCUCCCAGGCUCAAGUGAUCCUUCCAGCUCAGCCUUCCGGGUAGCUGGGACUACAGGCACAUGCUACCACAUCCAGCUAAUUUUUUUUAAAAAUUAUUAUUUUUUUGUUUUGUAGAUACAGAGUCUUCCUAUGUUGCCAGGGCUGGUCUCAAACUCCUGGGCUCAAACGAUCAUACUGCCUUGGUCUCCCAAAGUGCUGGGAUUACAGGUAUGAGCCACCGCGCCCAGCUCUUUACAGAAAUUUUUUUCCAAUCCUCCAGUAUCCAAUCCAGAAUCAUGCAUUGCAUUUAGUUGUCCUGUCUCUCUCUCUCUCUCUCUCUCUCUCUCUCUUUUGGAGACAGGAUCUCACUCUGUCACCUGGACUAAAGUGCUAGGCUUAAGUGAUCCUCCACCUCAGCCUCCCAAGUAGCUGGGACUACAGAUGCAGGCAACUGACCUGGAUAAUUAUUUUUAUUUUUGUAGAGACAAGGUCUUGCCAUGUUGCCCAGGCUGGUUUUGAACCCCUGGCUUCAAGUGAUCCUCCUGCCUCGGCCUCUCGAAGUGCUGGGAUUACAGGCGUGAGCUACCACACCCAGCCUCCUGUCUCUUUAGUGCCCUUUAAUCUGGAACAGUUCAUUCCUCUUUCAUGGCAUUGAUAUUUCUGAAGAGCACCUGCCAGCUGUUUUGUAGGCCAACCCUGAAUUUAGGCUUGCCUGAUGGUUUCCUCCUGGUUCUGCAUUCCUCAGGUUCCACAUCAUGGGCAGGAGUGGUACCUAGGGGAGUCCUAAAGGCUGCAUCGGGAGGCAGAUGUCCAUUGCUUCAUCAUGAUGAAGCUGAUUGCUUAAGGUGCCCUAUAAUUGCUUUUUAAAUUUCAAAUGAUCUGGGGCUUUUUUUCUGCUAGACUGUGAGCUUGAUGAGGGCAGAAGUCAUGUCUGUUAUCUCCAUCUUUGUA
RNAcentral lists this long non-coding RNA (3778 nucleotides) under Homo sapiens (human). RNAcentral's name for it is "non-protein coding lnc-TFAP2E-7:1". Lineage: Eukaryota; Metazoa; Chordata; Mammalia; Primates; Hominidae. The record is from RNAcentral.